RNAcentral lists this ribosomal RNA (727 nucleotides) under uncultured Glomeromycotina. Its description in RNAcentral is "SSU rRNA". It matches the Rfam family "Eukaryotic small subunit ribosomal RNA", at positions 373 to 1099 of the family's 1831-position model. Lineage: Eukaryota; Fungi; Glomeromycota. The record is from RNAcentral.
GGGUUCGAUUCCGGAGAGGGAGCCUGAGAAACGGCUACCANNNNNNNNNAAGGCAGCAGGCGCGCAAAUUACCCAAUCCCAAUACGGGGAGGUAGUGACAAUAAAUAACAAUAUGGGGCUCUUACGGGUCCCGUAAUUGGAAUGAGUACAAUUUAAAUCUCUUAACGAGGAACAAUUGGAGGGCAAGUCUGGUGCCAGCAGCCGCGGUAAUUCCAGCUCCAAUAGCGUAUAUUAAAGUUGUUGCAGUUAAAAAGCUCGUAGUUGAAUUUCGGAGUUUGUCGGUUGGUCGGGCUUCACUGUCCGCACUGGCCUGAUGGAUUCCUACCUUCUGAAUAACCAGCAUGCUAUUAAGUUAGUGCGUUGGGGAAGCAGAGCUAUUACCUUGAAAAAAUUAGAGUGCUUAAAGCAGGCUUUUGCUUGAAUAGAUUAGCAUGGAAUAAUAAAAUAGGACGGCAUGGUUCUAUUUUGUUGGUUUCUAGGAUCACCGUAAUGAUUAAUAGGGAUAGUUGGGGGCAUUAGUAUUCAAUUGUCAGAGGUGAAAUUCUUGGAUUUAUUGAAGACUAACUUCUGCGAAAGCAUUUGCCAAGGAUGUUUUCAUUAAUCAAGAACGAAAGUUAGGGGAUCGAAGACGAUCAGAUACCGUCGUAGUCUUAACCAUAAACUAUGCCGACUAGGGAUCGGACGAUGUUAAUUUUUUAAUGACUCGUUCGGCGCCUUACGGGAAACC